ACUGUCCUAAAGGGUUGUUCGAGACUAGAACGUUGAUAGGCAGGGUGUGUAAGCGUUGUGAGGCGUUGAGCUAACCUGUACUAAUUGCCCGUGAGGCUUAACCAUACAACACCCAAGGGGUUUUGUA
This 127-nucleotide ribosomal RNA is filed under the name Vibrio cholerae. RNAcentral's name for it is "partial 23S ribosomal RNA". The stretch from base 1 to 105 matches the Rfam family "Bacterial large subunit ribosomal RNA", at positions 2821 to 2925 of the family's 2925-position model. The record is from RNAcentral. Lineage: Bacteria; Pseudomonadati; Pseudomonadota; Gammaproteobacteria; Vibrionales; Vibrionaceae. RNAcentral also lists the same sequence under 1 other name.